This 614-nucleotide ribosomal RNA is filed under the name uncultured Neisseria sp. Its description in RNAcentral is "bacterial SSU rRNA". It matches the Rfam family "Bacterial small subunit ribosomal RNA", at positions 275 to 881 of the family's 1533-position model. The record is from RNAcentral. Lineage: Bacteria; Pseudomonadati; Pseudomonadota; Betaproteobacteria; Neisseriales; Neisseriaceae.
GACGAUCAGUAGCGGGUCUGAGAGGAUGAUCCGCCACACUGGGACUGAGACACGGCCCAGACUCCUACGGGAGGCAGCAGUGGGGAAUUUUGGACAAUGGGGGCAACCCUGAUCCAGCCAUGCCGCGUGUCUGAAGAAGGCCUUCGGGUUGUAAAGGACUUUUGUCCGGGAAGAAAAGCGCGAUGUUAAUACCAUUGCGUGCUGACGGUACCGGAAGAAUAAGCACCGGCUAACUACGUGCCAGCAGCCGCGGUAAUACGUAGGGUGCGAGCGUUAAUCGGAAUUACUGGGCGUAAAGCGGGCGCAGACGGUUACUUAAGCAGGAUGUGAAAUCCCCGGGCUCAACCUGGGAAUUGCGUUCUGAACUGGGUGGCUAGAGUGUGUCAGAGGGGGGUAGAAUUCCACGUGUAGCAGUGAAAUGCGUAGAGAUGUGGAGGAAUACCGAUGGCGAAGGCAGCCCCCUGGGAUAGCACUGACGUUCAUGCCCGAAAGCGUGGGUAGCAAACAGGAUUAGAUACCCUGGUAGUCCACGCCCUAAACGAUGUCGAUUAGCUGUUGGGCAACUUGAUUGCUUGGUAGCGAAGCUAACGCGUGAAAUCGACCGCCUGGGGAGU